RNAcentral lists this ribosomal RNA (552 nucleotides) under uncultured fungus. Its description in RNAcentral is "eukaryotic LSU rRNA". The stretch from base 192 to 345 matches the Rfam family "5.8S ribosomal RNA". Lineage: Eukaryota; Fungi. The record is from RNAcentral.
UCCGUAGGUGAACCUGCGGAGGGAUCAUUACAGAGAAACUCGCCCGCAAGGGUGACUCUCCAACCCUAUGUUAAUUAUACCUUUGUUGCUUUGGCGAGCCGCUUCGGCCACCGGCUUCACGCUGGUGAGCGCUCGCCAGAGGACCCUAAACUCUGUUUAUUAGUGUCGUCUGAGUACUAUAUAAUAGUUAAAACUUUCAACAACGGAUCUCUUGGUUCUGGCAUCGAUGAAGAACGCAGCGAAAUGCGAUAAGUAAUGUGAAUUGCAGAAUUCAGUGAAUCAUCGAAUCUUUGAACGCACAUUGCACCCUCUGGUAUUCCGGGGGGUAUGCCUGUUCGAGCGUCAUUGCAACCCUCAAGCACUGCUUGGUAUUGGAUGCUACCUCUUGGUACGUCUUAAAAAUAUUGGCAGUGGCAUUCAGCUUCUAGUGUAGUAAUUUUCUCACUUAGGAGCUAUGAGUGUCUGACUGCUAGAACCCUCAAUUUAUCACAAGGUUGACCUCGGAUCAGGUAGGGAUACCCGCUGAACUUAAGCAUAUCAAUAAGCGGAGGA